RNAcentral lists this ribosomal RNA (588 nucleotides) under uncultured bacterium. RNAcentral describes it as "partial 16S ribosomal RNA". It matches the Rfam family "Bacterial small subunit ribosomal RNA", at positions 355 to 1375 of the family's 1533-position model. The record is from RNAcentral.
UGGGGAAUUUUGGACAAUGGGCGAAAGCCUGAUCCAGCAAUGCCGCGUGUGUGAAGAAGGCCUUCGGGUUGUAAAGCACUUUUGUCCGGAAAGAAAUCCUUGGCUCUAAUACAGUCGGGGGAUGACGGUACCGGAAGAAUAAGCACCGGCUAACUACGUGCCAGCAGCCGCGGUAAUACGUAGGGUGCAAGCGUUAAUCGGAAUUACUGGGCGUAAAGCGUGCGCAGGCGGUUUGCUAAGACCGAUGUGAAAUCCCCGGGCUCAACCUGGGAACUGCAUUGGUGACUGGCAGGCUAGAGUAUGGCAGAGGGGGGUAGAAUUCCACGUGUAGCAGUGAAAUGCGUAGAGAUGUGGAGGAAUACCGAUGGCGAAGGCAGCCCCCUGGGCCAAUACUGACGCUCAUGCACGAAAAGCGUGGGGGAGCAAAACAGGAUUAGAUACCCUGGUAGUCCACGCCCUAAACGAUGUCAACUAGUUGUUGGGGAUUCAUUUCCUUAGUAACGUAGCUAACGCGUGAAGUUGACCGCCUGGGGAGUACGGUCGCAAGAUUAAAACUUAAAUGAAUUGACGGGGUCAUAGCUGUUUCCU